Molecule: ribosomal RNA, 497 nt
Filed under: uncultured bacterium
Lineage: Bacteria
Description: partial 16S ribosomal RNA
Rfam family: Bacterial small subunit ribosomal RNA
Source: RNAcentral
GAUGAACGCUGGCGGCGUGCCUAAUACAUGCAAGUCGAGCGAACAGACGAGGAGCUUGCUCCUCUGACGUUAGCGGCGGACGGGUGAGUAACACGUGGAUAACCUACCUAUAAGACUGGGAUAACUUCGGGAAACCGGAGCUAAUACCGGAUAAUAUAUUGAACCGCAUGGUUCAAUAGUGAAAGACGGUUUUGCUGUCACUUAUAGAUGGAUCCGCGCCGCAUUAGCUAGUUGGUAAGGUAACGGCUUACCAAGGCAACGAUGCGUAGCCGACCUGAGAGGGGGAUCGGCCACACGGGAACUGAGACACGGUCCAGACGACUACGGGAGGCAGCAGUAGGGAAUCUUCCGCAAUGGGCGAAAGCUUGACGGAGCAACGCCGCGUGAGUGAUGAAGGUCUUCGGAUCGUAAAACUCUGUUAUUAGGGAAGAACAAAUGUGUAAGUAACUAUGCACGUCUUGACGGUACCUAAUCAGAAAGCCACGGCUAACUACGUG